This 67-nucleotide transfer RNA is filed under the name Marmota monax (woodchuck). RNAcentral describes it as "tRNA.Ala". The record is from RNAcentral. Lineage: Eukaryota; Metazoa; Chordata; Mammalia; Rodentia; Sciuridae.
GGUUGUGGCUCAGUGGUAGGGCACUUGCUUAGCAUGUGUGAGGCACUGGGUUUGAUCCUCAGCACCA